Molecule: long non-coding RNA, 859 nt
Filed under: Homo sapiens (human)
Lineage: Eukaryota; Metazoa; Chordata; Mammalia; Primates; Hominidae
Description: HSALNT0310390
Source: RNAcentral
CCCGGGCCCCGCGGGCCUGCAGCGCCCCCGCACCCGGUUCCACGCGCCCAGGGCCGCCCCCGCGGAGAGAGGGGGCGCGAGGGGCGCGCCUCUCGCUCGGACACCCUCUCCCAGCUCGCGCCCCAGGUAACUUAAACCCAAUUAUAAAUGGCUUUGGCUAUAAAGUGUUCUUGAAUGAAAACGUUUAGGAAGUAGGCCUGGAUUCAGAUGCUUCAGAGGCUCAAAGGUUUUCUAAUUGUUUAUGGAGAAGAUUGAUCUUCACAAGCUAGUUUUUUCAUAGGCAAAAGCAAAAGUCUCUUCCUGUGUUAUUAAGUGAAAAUGGCUGAUUAUAAAAAGGGGCUUACAAACAAUAUUUAACAAAUCUUCAUCAAGUCCCUACUCUGUGGCAGGCCCUGGGUCAGGAGGUUGCCGAUUCCAGGAAGAAUCAGACCUUAUCCCUGCCCUUGAGUCUCAAGAAGAGGAAAGGAAAACAAAUAAGCAUAGUACAGUGUGAAAAGUGGGACUGUGGUCAAAUUUCAGUCUGCAAACUCAGAUCAUGAAAGAUAGUGUGGCUUCCACUUUGGUCUCUUAUAUCACCUACUGGGGGAAGCCAGCUGCCAUGUUGUGAGGACACUCAAGAAGCUCUGUGGAGAGGCUCUUUUGAAGGAGAACCAAUGCCUCCCACCAACAGCCAGCAUCAACUUGGGACAUGUGAGUGAACCAAUUGGAAGUGGAUCCUCCAGCCAAGUCAAGCCUUCAGAUGACUGAAGCCCCAGCCUCAUGAGAGAUAGCAGGCUAAAACUGCCCAGCUAAGCUGCUCCUGAAAUCCUGACCCCCCAAAUUAUAAAAGACAAUAAAUUAUUAUUGUUGUUUUAAGCCA